CGUAGCGUAGCUAACCGCUCCACUACCGCUACCACCACACCGUACACAAGUACACACGCGCACACACAGUGGGUGUUACAGCCAACAGCCCCUGGACUCCUGUGCACCGCCCUUCAGCGCCGAAUGUAACUCGAGCAAUGUCACGUCAAAUAUAACCUCACGAAAAAUGAAAAGUCCAAGCCUAUCAUGAAUCACCGUUCAUGUGAAUCUGGAUGUGAAGAGACGUGUUUGCCUCAUUGGCGGCAAGCUUGGUGGUAUACAUGUGCGUGCGCGUGUGUUUGAGAGUGUGUGUGUGUGUUAAAGGCAAACGAAACAUUUAAUUGUAGGGAGAGCACUUAAUCCACAGUCGAUGAAAUGCUCUAAAUUAUAGGUAUUUUCAUUUUUUCGGUUCAACGUGAUAAAUAUUAGUUUUAGCUAAAUUACACGGGGCAUAGUGCAUGACAGUAUAAAUAAUUGCCGCCUGCUUUGUUCAGCAAAGUCAUUAUUUUUAUAGGCAACAAGACUGCUACAUAAGCCAUACACGCCGGCACGUGGAGGCAAUCACUCCGUCCACUGCAGUGCGGCGCGCAGCAACGCUCCGCACGAGAUUUAACGUUGCCGUGAAUGUGCAGCGGGAUGACCCGACAGAGACGGCCCCAGGCCUUGGCGGAGAGAGGAGGAGGAGGGGGGGGGGGUGAGUCGCGCUACUGCGGACAGCCCCACCGCGGGCUGCGGUGCGAGGUGACGCGCACGGACAGAGAUCGGUGGGCGGCCAAAAGCAGAGGCGUGGUGGCACAGGCGGGCGAUGUCGUAGCCGCCGUUACUGGUGAUGUGAAGCCACAGGGAGGAGGAGGAGGAGGUGAGGGUGUCUCGUCGAGGAUGACAGAUGACGGUGCUCAUAUUCAGUCGUUUACAACUGCAGCUGAAUAGUCGCAGCAGUCCUCAAUUUGAACUCUGGGAAUCGGCAGAUCUCGCUCGCUAUCCUAAUACUAAAACAUAUUUUAAACCAAACUAUUUAUUUUACCAGGUAAAGCCCACGAACAGGCACACUUGUAUGCAGAUUUUGUUUUAUUCAUCCAAAUGUUCCUAAAGCACUCCCCUUAUAUUCCAUCGUUGUAAGCCAGGUCCGCCCUGGGUAGGUGGACUCUGACGUCUUGUCGGGUUGUGUGCCUCCAACAAGCUAUCCUCCUCGCUGGUUUCAGUGAACGCGUUCCCUAUCCAUAAUGUAGAUUUGUUUUGGGUGAGAUUGCGUAAACCUAAAUGUGUUGUUAAACCCGCCACCACCCGACACAGUCAACUAGUAAGGGUUGUCACGUAGACGGAACGUGUCAAUUCGUUACUAGUACAGCACACCGGUGUGUUGGAGAGUAAAUCCACUACAUUUUCAAUCCCUAUGUUUCCUAUGCCUGCCACACACCUGUACAGACGGACUCCCAUACACAGACCAAUUAAAAUAACGAGGAUAAAUAAUCAUGCUGUAAAUUUAGAGUUUGUGAAAUAGACUAACUAUACCCACACAAAUACCGCGAAGUUAAUGAUUCGCGCGAUCACACUCCACGAGCACGGCCCUCGCAAAACAAGCGGCCUUUAUUUACAAAUCAACAGCAAAAAUAUCGGAGGGCUAAUUUAGUCGAAUUCACUCGAGGAUGAAAAAAAGUGGAAUGCUCCUGCCACUCACCCCCCCCCCCAAACCUGGCUCACCACCCAUAGCCCCCCCCCCCCUCAUCCCCACAUAUUCAUAGCCAUCAAUCCACCCCUGCCAACAUCUGUAAAAUAAAAUAAAAAUAGUCGGAUAGGUUGACACAUUUGUCUUUGCGGCGUGGGUCACACGGACGCUGGGCUAGACAGCAGACAGGAGAAUGCAGCUUUGAAAUAUGCCCCCUCGUCCUCUUCGUCCUCCUCGUCCCCCCCACCCCCUCCUCGUCCCCCUCCUCGUCCUCGUCGUCUGUCACGGCGUAGGUCCCAGCCGCCACCCACGUCCACGGCGCCAUUUUUCCUUCUGCCAAGCGACGGCGCUGCCCCCUUGCGAACCCCGACCGGGGGUCCGGGGUGGGGGGUGGUGACUGCGACAGGCCCUCCCCCCCCCCCCCAGCUUGUGGAGACUGGCAGCAGCAAGUGGCCAGAGAGGGGUGUGAGGGAGCAGACGUUAGCGCCUGAAGAAGAAUGUUCUUAACCCUUGAAAAAGAACGUGGAAUAUCUGCAGCAAGCGUUGAGCGUGUGCAAGAAAUAAACUAUUUUUUACUGCCCCUAGUUUAGCAUGUGCGGAGUACAGGGCACAUUGCAGGGCGUUUUAAAACAGUGGGGGGAAAAGAGAGACAUUAAUGUCAGAGCUCGCCUCCUACGGGAGGCUGUGCCAAGUGAGUGAUGGAGGCCAUUUAGGCUCUGGCCCUGAUGUAUAUUCUACUCAACGAGUGAAAGCAUUUCCCAUGAAGUUAGAUUGCUGGGCGGCCAAACUUAUCCAUCCCCCAGCGGACUCCAUUUCACGUUCUUUUAGGGCACCGGAGCCGAAGGCUCAUUUGGCCUAACUAAGGCCACGUCCUAAGAUGUACUUUGGGAUGGAACGAGACACACAAACCUUCAGGGAGGCGACGAGGGGAUGUGUGGGGGGAGUUGGGGGCCUGUUUUGAGGGGUUUUACACUGGCACUUAUUGCUAUUUUUAAAAUUCCCAAACCCACAGAGGAUUGCUUCGCGAAGCUAAGACUGGGAAAUAGUCACCGAGCUAAUGUGAAAUGAAUGUAAACAUCGUAAAAGGACACGUUUUCACAUCGUCUUAAUUCAUUUUUCAAUGGACUACCUUUUUGCCAAAAGAGGGCAUCCUUAAAUUCUUUCCAUGACAUCAAUGUCACCCUGGCAAACACUGCUGCCAAAGGUUUUUAUAGUGCGAAUAAAUAAAUAAAAGGCCACGCCACAAGGUGAUGAUAAAUGUGUCCAGCGUGAUUACCCCCGUGCUAUUUUUUGUUUUGUACUCCGUUCGACAGGCCGCUGCUAACCCCUCGA
Petromyzon marinus (sea lamprey) is the source of this 2977-nucleotide non-coding RNA. NCBI's taxonomy places the organism in Eukaryota, Metazoa, Chordata, Hyperoartia, Petromyzontiformes, Petromyzontidae. The record is from RefSeq and is a predicted model, not a curated record.